UGCCCAGAAACCCUCAUCCCUACUUCCUCGCGGUACUGGCCGGGUACAAGUAACCUGAGGGAAGAUCGGGUAACCAACCUCGGUGGGAACUCUGGUCGUAUGCUGGCAGGGAAGG
RNAcentral lists this ribozyme (115 nucleotides) under Aedes aegypti (yellow fever mosquito). RNAcentral's name for it is "drz-agam-1 ribozyme". It matches the Rfam family "drz-agam-1 ribozyme". The record is from Rfam by way of RNAcentral. Lineage: Eukaryota; Metazoa; Arthropoda; Insecta; Diptera; Culicidae.